GUUAUGCUACUAGUAUAAAUAGUUAUAAUUUUUAUAAAUAGUUAUAAUUUUUAAGAAAAUAAAAAUAGAGAGCUAUAAUAUAAAGUAAAUUAAGUUAAAAAAGAUAAUAGUAAACUACAUUAUACACUACAAUAUAUAAACAAUUAAGAAAGAAAGAGAUUAAAAUAGUCCAUAAUUAAAUAUAAAAUAUAUAGGAUUUUUUUAGGUGAGCGAACAGAAAAUUUAUACUUAAACAUAAAAUACAAGUUAAUUAAUACUUAAAAUAGAAAAUAUAAGAUUUUCUAUUUGAAUUUAUAAUAAUUCGCGAAUAAUUUGGCUAGCCCAAAAAAUUUGCGUUUUAUUCCCUUUUCUGAAAAAAAAAAAAAAAACAUACGGACUGUUUCAUUCGGAUUUUCAAU
Molecule: long non-coding RNA, 398 nt
Filed under: Ananas comosus (pineapple)
Lineage: Eukaryota; Viridiplantae; Streptophyta; Magnoliopsida; Poales; Bromeliaceae
Description: long non-coding RNA (ACOM_LNC041584)
Source: RNAcentral